Molecule: long non-coding RNA, 11140 nt
Organism: Passer domesticus (house sparrow)
Lineage: Eukaryota; Metazoa; Chordata; Aves; Passeriformes; Passeridae
Exons: 3
Source: RefSeq, a predicted model, not a curated record
CUGGCUGCGGCAUUGCCAUCCUCCCUCCUGCAGGUCAGCGCUGCGUCCGCUCCCAAAGCUGCUGUGCCGGCUCGAGUCUAAGCCUCUGCACCUGGGCAGUGGGGAUGGGCGACUAAACCCAGCUUGCUUAAGCUCAUGCUGCCACACCGUACCUUAAAAACAAGGAAGAUGUGGAAUCCUCUCAUGACAAAAUUAAUGUUCUGAACUGCAGCAAAUGCCUCGACAAUCAAAGUUAUGUUCCAGCAAAGCACUAACAAUAAUCCCCUACACUGCUGUGGCAAGGCCCUGAGUUGUGUUAUACAUACUCUUUUUUUUUUCCUAGUUGAAAAGGAGAGGAAAGAAUUAGGCUCAUUUACUAAGUUCAAUAACAGCAAAGGAAUGGGUACCUUUAAAAAAAAUAACAGUAUUUCAAUGCAAAUAUAAAUUUAUCACAAGCUUCCUGAGGCACACGCAGCAUAAAGGCAGUAUCACUGCAGAGAAGGUAUCUGCUUUCAAGGGGAUUUGCAUUCUCAUUGAAUGCUGGACCAGGUCCAGACCAGCCGGAGGAUAACCACCCUCUAACCUCCCUGCGGAGACUUACAGAGACGAGACUGAAGCAGUAUCAUUUCUGACAGAAAUCAAAUCCUGGCUACUGCACUGCUGGGAACACUACAGACAGGAAAUAAAAAAAAUAGGGAGGAAUUGGAAUGAAGACAAUUCUGUGAAGCUCAUUUAGGUAAUACCAUGUCAAAGGACCUGAUAUGGGAACACACUGCAUACUUACUGAAUGAAUGCAGAAGUUAAGCGUCUCCUAGCAUAAAAUAUUAUUUUAACAAAUGGACAUGCAAAUGUUAAAGCUGACCAGUUACAGACCAUGGGCUCAGUUGCAUGCCUAGGUUAACCAAGCUAAAUAAUACAUCUACUCAAAUCAUACAUGAAACCACAAAGAGCAUUCAAAAACCACAAUUUUGUUCAAAUUCUCAUCAGUCACAGCACUAACAUUUCAGAGGACAGGAUAAUUCCUAGUGAUGUGUCUCCAAAGAUUCAAAGACAAGUGACCUUAAUGGAAGCUUAUGAAUAUUAGGAUAUUGCAUUACAGGUGCUGGGCACAUAUUCAGAUAUUCAGUACCUCCUUCUUGAUGUAAUGCACCCAGAGACAUAGAUAAGAAAAUCCCAGGACAGACUGAUGAGCAGCUUCUAGGUAUUCCCUCUCUUGCUGUACUCAUUCUGAUGUAGUGGUAGAAACCUUUGAGCAGCCACACAGAACAAACUGGAUCAUAGAAAUUGUAAGCAAUUUUGGAGUGCCAGCAAAGCACAGGAGGCAGCACAGGAAUGGGAGCAAAAUGACCGCACAAGGCAGCAACCACUCAGUUCUGCCAAUCUGGCCAAUAAAUGAGUAAUCUUCAUAUAUUGUGUUCAGGGUCAGUAAGCUCUAAGACUGUCCCAAAAGAAGAAGCAUCUGAAUUGUAUUAAACCUACAGAGACCCUUAGCUGUGGCUGGACUGUCUGUGAAAAUAUGUCUAGACUACAAGAAAAUGUAACGUUUUAGAAUGUCCUAGUUGGCUUAUUUAAGCUGUAAUACUAGCAACCCAAAUUACAGAUAUGUCGAACCCAAAAGACAGACAAAUAUAAAACCAUUACCAAAACAUUAUAUGCAAUUUAUUUUUCAACUGAUACCUAAAUCUGUACUUCUUUAAGCCACAGUUUAAAAUACUUCUAAUUAGAAUAUUGGUGUUUUUUUCAGUUUUAUAGCAUUUGUAGCAGAAAUCUUAAUAUUAGUCUGAAGAAUGCAUGAACAGAAACAGUCUGUCAGUAAAAGCAACAAGAAGGGCAACAGAGCAAAGCCACAGGAAAAACCCCAAAACAUUUUGAAAACCAUGGGCACGCUGAUAGCAAUCAAUCAGAGAAGAACUGAGGAAUGUGGUGUUUGCACCACCAAAAAUUUGUGCCAUAGGAAGCCCACAGCAUGGAUUAGCAGAAGACCUGUGCCCUGACAGGGAGAGGAUAGCAGGGAGAUUGCACCACACUCUAUGUGCCCCUUCUUUUCCUGUUAACCCAAAAGGGAAGAUAACUGUAGCCAGGAAGGCACCCACAGCAGGCAAACCCAGGAAACAGCCUGCAAGCUGAGAUUCACCUAGGGUGAGCAGCAAGUUACAAAGAUGACUACCAAUGGCAACUGGCUGUGGGAAGCACACCUUGAGGAACACUUCAAAACUUCUUACAUCCUGCUGGAACAGCAAAAGCCUGCCCAGCAAUAUAAAGAUGAAAAUGAGCUGAGAAUUAAUGUAAAACAGUAAUUCAGAGUAACCUGCCGAAGGGACUGCAGCACUUACAUGAAAGAAACUGAACUCUCAGGAGGAAACUUUAGGAGGGAAUAGGAGAAAGGCUGUGAACUGCAGGCUCACAGAAGGGUUGAGGGAAGGAAGGACCUCUGGAGGUCAUCUCAUCCAACUUGCCCCUGCUCAAGCAGGGCCACCCAGAGCCAAUUGCUCACAGCUGUGUCUGGCUUCUUCUAGCCUUGCUCUGGCAAAUGAGGGGCUCAGUUUGAGGGGAAUAAUUGCAGCUGUCUCACCUCACCCCAGGGAUGCUACAGGACACAGUCCUUUCCUAAACCAUUUCUACAGUGUAUCUUUACUGAAAAGUUCAACCUUUCUUUAAAGUCUUCCAGUCAGAGCCUGGCGGAAUUUGAUGUCAGCUUUUCCGAUGCCACAGUCUGACAAAGGAGAAUUCCAUUUUGUCAGAGCUUUGUUCCCAACUGCCAUAUCCUAGCCUGUAUAAUGUCUCUACCGGGAGCGAGUAUGCAAACAAACAAAAAAAUGCUGCAAAAAUAUUCAGUGUGAAAGAAAGCCACACCCGCCAUCUAGGUCUGUCCAAGUCCAUCUUUUCAACGCAUUUAUAUCCUCAUGUUGCAGGUUUUUCGGCUUAUUAAUUGAAAAUUUGUCUGUGAGAGUCUCUUGCACGUUCGUUACAGUCUUUAUAAAGAUAUUCCUUGCAAAUGCCUUGAGGUCACACUUAAAACCAUGGUGUGAACUGUGCCAGACAAGGAAUUUGUGAAGGAGCUUCUCCCGGGCCCGUGCGUGCCGUCUGCCUCUCCGCGCGGAGCGGUUCCGAGGGGAGCUGCAACCACAGCAGGGCCUUCCCUGACGCCCGGCAGCCGCCACGUCUGCUCUCGGUCACGGCUGAUUCCCACGAGAUGCCACGGCACCAUUUAAUCUGAGUUUAAUCUGAGAUUUUUAACGAUGACUCCUGUACUGACGCAAAAGUCUGCCGGCGCGCUGCCUCGCUGCACAUCUCUCACGAUUCGCUUCCCUCACGGGGUGUCUGCAAUUUUCCCUGGAUCAAAACACUGCCGGUCUCUCCCUGCUGACAGCAGAGCACUUGUUUCUUUAGAGCUCUUCUGCAAAACAAAGUUGCAGUAACUUGGAAAUAAAGGUAGUUUUAGGUUGUGUGAUCUACCUGAAACACCACUCAGGCAGUGAAACAUUGAAAUGGUAAGGAGUUGAAAGUAAAAGGAAAAAAAAAAGGCAAAAAAUGAAGAGUGUGGUUUUGGUUUGCUUUAAGGUUUUUCAGCUUUGAUUCUUGUCAGUGCUACUAGUGCUUUGAUUUCAAUCAGUCUUGAAACAGUCUUGAAAUCUUUAGUAAGACAUUUAAACUGAAAUAGAAAAUUAACACUGGCUCAUCAGUACAGCCCCUCAGUUACACAAAAUCUCCAGUAACAAGUUGGGAAAAGAAGAAUACAAUGACAUUUCUUGUAGCCAUGCAUGAAGUUGGAGAGAAAAACAACCUUUUGCCAAAAGCUAAGUAAAAAUUUCCCCUUCUUUUCACUAUGUUUAUGGUUUCUACCCCUUUUUCUGCUUGAGACAAUAUUUCAGCUGGCUGUCUGGGGGCAUUCUGCAGAGAAUCUCCCACACUGCUGGAUGUGUCCCUGCCUGUCCAUGGCUGGGGAGAAAACAGUUAAGUUCAGCAGCAAAGUGACAAGAGAGGCAGCAGCCUCCGGCAGCCACGGGAACAACAAUUUCUACAGACUAGAGGCUGAAAUUUCAGAGGGAAAUAAUCCCAACUGUCAUAGCCAGGUCAGAGAGCAGGGCCCCAAUGGCACUGGCUUGAGUUUUAAGGCAAAAUGUUACUGGAGACAUGUGUGGACCUGACUUUACCAUCCUCUGAAGUGCCAUAAUAAUGACAUCCACAUACCUGCAAGAAGUAAUAAAACAAAGCAGGAAUUUUGCCUGCACAAAAUGUAAACAUCAAAACAGAUGGCGCAGUUAUGUUAAUCAGUUAAUGUUUGCAGAGUGCUUUGAAGAUGCAAAGCUCUGUAAAGGUACUAAAUACUUACAGUCUUGUCUAGACAUCAUCAAGCUCAUUUUUAGAUUGCAACCUUUCCAGGCCAAACAGAGCCUCUCUCUGUAUAUGGUUGCACUGCUCCUUCUAGCAGCCUCUAAUCUCAGGAUAUAUUUGCAAGAGAGGAAUAACAGAGGAACAGCUCCUGGAGAUGGAAAACCCAAGCCAACAGCUCCUGCUAAAGCAGCAUGAAGCAGCACAGCAGAGGGUAGGGCUCAAUAUCAUCAGGGAAUCAGAUGGAAGUCAAAAUGUACGAUACCGGAUUUCACCAGAGAAACAGGUAAAGAUUGAGGCUGUCACAACACAUAAUCCCUUAAAAAACAUUUUGUCAUGAUGGUGAGAACUGAAUACUUGCACUAACAAGCCCUGAUGAGAAAAACCCAUAUUUGACAGAAUAAACUAUGUAUGUAGACUUAACAGAGCUGUGAGAAGUGCAGAAGCAAUCUUCAUCACCCAUAGUCCAAGUAUGGAAUUUAACAAAGUGAGUUAUGAACAAUGAGAUCACAGAUUUUUUUGAGGUUUGGGAAAAAUCCAUCCAAACCAUUUCAAAACUCACUUUUUAUUUGCUCUAAGGAAUGUGGAAUGCAAAUAAAAUUAAACUCCAGGGGCUUAUUCUGCAAUAAGCAAACCUUCUGUGUCAGACUGCCUUGCAACCUAACCCAAACCUUACUAUUCUGACAUUAAGAAACCACAGAUCUCAGAAACGUUUUCCACUCACAUUUCCUCAUCAGCUCGGACUUUAAAUAGGGAAAGAAGUCUGGUGUUACACAAAAGGUGCAGACAGCUGAAACACGCAAUCCUUAUUCAUACCCUAAAAAUAGACCCUAACUGACCACCCAGUGCAUAACCAGUGCUACUGAGCAUGGAAUUGAAGCUGGAGAUUUCAGUUCAGCUGCCAGCUUGAGGCUAGGUGAGGAGCUGGCAUAUGGAGCCAGCUUCCAAUCCCUCUGACACAGCUCCCUUGACCCAUGCUGAAAUAAAAUUUACAAGAUGCACAGAGGAAUAGCAUCCCUUUCCCCUGAACAGAAGCUCAGCUCUGGUCAGCGGGCUUGGAAUCAGGAUAGAAAAGACUAAAGGAAGAGAGAUGUGUUUGUGUUUAGGAAAUUGUUCCUUUUACCCUAUAAAAUAAAACUUGGGGGUUUUAACCUUUUUGGUUUUUUUUUUUUUAAUUUCCAGAUUGGGGGGAAAGAUGCCUUUAUUCUUGUUCGCACUUUUGAACCAUUCCUCAAAAAUCUACCUUCUUACUGUGCUGGGGGAUGAUACCAGGGGUCUGCAACUAACUCAUAUUUCCAUAAACAGCUGUAUAACAAAGGUCCUGUGCUGUACACUCACUUGAAUCCUAAUGAUAGGUAAGGUUAUUCUCCUGCUUCUGAAUACUUGCACUAACAAGCCUCUUCAUUCAGUUGUUAAACAUUAAUUUCUAAGCAGAAGAAAAACUUUAUUAUAAUUAUAGCUCUUAUUUAUCAACUUGUUCUCAAAUAACUUCUGUCACCUUCCCAAAAAGAAAACUUUAACUGGAAAUGGAUUAAAUUAAUCAAAAAACCUUGAGUCCUUUGUACUGGAAGAGCACAUUAAAAAGCAAUGCCAACACCAUACUGACUUCUUUUCUUUCCAGGGAAAGCACUGCCUCUCCCUCUUUGUUUCAAACAGCAUGUAUAUAUAAUAAGUCAAAUUUUCAGUCUCAUCUUAACUGGGUUACCAACUUUCCUUGCCCAUAAUUUUGCAUAUGCUCAGAUAAUUAUGUCCUGAAAUUUGCAAAUACAAUUACUUGCUGACACACUUUGUUAUCUGAAUGAUAAAGUAUUUGAUUGUAUCCAAUGAAAACAAUAUUAAGAUGGGGAAGCAAACGUGUUUUAGCAAACCUAAUGCACCAACUUAAGCUUCUGUUGUUUUAUGGAAACAUGAUCCUCUAACAGCAUGUCUACACCCUGUAGAGAAGUAUUGUCUGGAGACCUUACAUUAAAAGCAGGAAAGCCACAUCGCUGCAUUACCACGUUUGCACUUGCCUGGUGAGAAAUACAGCUACCCAAGAACAAUCACCUUUUCAUUCUUUCAAAACAGAGAAGUUGGCUUGCAUAAAAAUCAUCAAGUUAAUAAUGACAUAUAAAUGGAGUCACAAAACAACUAACAAAAAGGUGCUGCCAAGUUAAACUAGUUCAGCGUUCAUAUUGUACCUUGCUAUCUGUAGGUUCACUACAUGUAAUAAAACUUCUUGAUUUCUCUCCCUAAGAGAAGAUUUGCAAAAAGUGUUAAAUAAGAACUGAUCAGAAGAGCAACUGUGAAGAUACUGGGAUACAGUUUAGCAGAACUAAGAGGUUUUUGACUGAGUUUAGUUAGAUUUGUCAGUAACUUCUGAAGCUACGUUUAUUUCUCAUUAGUUCAAUUUAGCAGAUCUUCUAUUAUUAAAAUUGAAUAGGAAAUCCUUAAAACUGCACCCUGAGUCUCUGAGAGGGCUGGCCCCCUCUCACCACAGUUUCACAGAGCUCCUGAUGGAUUUCCUAGUGCUCACCAUAAAUGCAAACAAGUAACUGGAAAAUCCAGAUGGGGUUCCACUGUAUUUCAAGAACAGUUAUGACAUAAGACUUUCUUGAUACAGAGCUCAGAUGUGAUGCUGGGGAGAUUACACCAACAACUCUUUUUGGUUAGCAAUUUACAGGAGAGACUGCAAAGUAGGAGUAAGCAGCCUGUCAAUUACAUUUCAAGAUAUUAUUAAUAAAACCCCAAUAUUUUUUUUUAAUUACCAGUGUACAUACAGGCUUUAUCAGUAAGAUCCUGAAGAAAAAACUUUUCAUUAACGAUACUAUUCUCUGUUUGAACAUACUGUCAUCAAUGGAAAAAACUACUUAGAGCCUGGAGUCAUUUGUUUUAGGUCUUGAAAGUGGCACUGAAUAAAAACACAGAGAAACACAGUGAGAGAUAUUUAACAAAUUAAUAUUAUAUGGAAUCAAUCAACAGAAUGUGAGUUACUACUUCAAACUCUUCAGAAAUUGUGGCAGCAUUUCUAUCAGGAGAGCUUAAAUCUUCUUUUUUCUUUAAUUGUAUCUAGUUUCAAAGCCUUCAGGGAUCAUAUGUUUAAGCUUUUCUUUGCAACCCAGAGAGCUGGAAAUUAACCUUUUUAACAGUGAGACCAAAAUUCUUAAGCAUUUCUACAACCAAUAGCCUCGGAAGGCAGGUUUUGAAGAAAAUGCAAAUCAAUGCAUGACUACAGAGGAGGACAGUAAGAGUUGGUAACUGUAAUCCAGCAAGGACAACGCACCAUAAAUUGGAUAUUAACCUCAGCAAGAAUCAAACAGCAAAAUUUCAGUUAAAUCUUGAACAGUGUCAGCCUCCAGCCAUAAUCCAGAGUGUCAGCACUGUGCUGGCCAAACUGAGUGCAUAGUCAGAGGACAGGUAGCCACUGGAAGCCACUCAGAAUUUACAGCUGCACUUGACACUAGUUUAAUGUACAAGGGUCGAGACUCCUUUGUCACCACAACCCCUCAGUGACUGUACUCAGCCAUCCAUGUCUAAAUGCUCCAGCAGCUCAGGAGGAAGCCCACACUUCAUCAGACCCCUUCACAGGACACAUCCUACCAGCACUCAGUCCUUGGCCUCCAGAGACAAGCACAACACUUUUCCUUCCCCAUGGGCUGCCAAGUGUUGCUCCUAAAACCAACCUGAACUCGUGUUUGUAUUCCAGACUUUUGUUCCCACUUCAGCUAUGCAGGAUCAAAAGGUGUUUACUCCUUUGCCUUAGUAGGUUCUACACCAAGGAGAUUUCAGGAAAAUGUGCCAAGACCGCCAAUCAGGGCUUUCAUGUUGUUGUUAGAGCCUAAGGAGGGAUGACACAGUGUGUUUACAGCUCACGCGGCUCUGAGCUCUCCAGUUCCCUGGGCAGAAGAAAGACAGUCAUGACCACAGUCCCCUGAUCGCAGCUUGCAUUUUGUUCAAAUGUUCAAAUCUUUGCAACCUUUCUGCAGUAUUCAAUGCAUUUUGACCAAAAACUGCUCCAGAGUGCAGGCAAAAACAGUUGGGAAAUUGUUAAGCCUCUCCCUAUGCAGUGAGAAUAAAAAUAAGAAAAUACAGGCUUCAUUAAAUAUAAUAAAUGUCUAAGAAAUUCCUCUUUGAGUUGAUACUUUGACUCUACCAACUACAUUCACAGGAGACAACUUAUUUUGGCAUAUAGAGACAAAAAAAAUUGUGUCAGCUCAAGUUAACAUUGUACCACAAUUAUCAGAAAAUUCUAUUUUGACCUUUAAAAAAUAUAGUAUUUCCAGCCUUUCACCCACUCUUAAUUCUAAGCACUGUACAACAGUUCUUGCAAAUUAGACAAAUAUUUUUAUUUUGUAGACAAGGAAACAGGAUAAAAUAUUUAAGUGACUUCUCCAAACCAUUACUAGACCUGAAGAAAAUUUCAGAAGAUCCCAUCCUGACCCCAUCUAGACCCCUAACUUGCAUUAUCCACUAAUCAACAUUCUUGACAGAGUAUGUAAGUAUUACCUAUCACCCCUAUAAAUGUUUACAUUACAUCUACAGAAUGGCUACAUAAGUUGAAUAAAUUGCAGUUAACUAAUCUCUUACUGGGCUGCUUUCCUGUUGGGUCAGCAUUACAGUCUAGGUCACCACACAGCUGCAGGAGAACUGUCACAAGGAAGUGGGCAAGAACAUGUGGCCGGAGGUAGAGAGCAAGACCAAGUGCAGACAGAGAUAAAAUUAGACACAGAGAGCAGACAGUGAUCUAACAAAGUCCUCUGGUUCAGCCACAGGGUACUGUAGGGGUUUUUUUAUUCAUACAUAAAAACACAGAAAUAUGGGGCUGAAGAAUUCACAUAUUAACUUGGCCCACCCUCCUAGUCUAAGGUAAGAACAAGCACAUGCACAUUGCCCGUGGCUGAUGGUUGUCUCAGCUGCUCUCUCCUCUUGUGAGGAUACUGCAUUGAGUAACCCUCAGGUGGCCACUGAUGAUGUUUUAUCAUCUCAGUAAUAGAAAGAUCUGAUAGACUUGUAGCCAAAAUCAGCUCUGUGGCCCAUUAAAUUGAUUUCUUUGCUUCUUCUGCAAAUUAUGGCAAGCUAUUGAUUACUGACACUUAAAUACUGACAUUUUUAUAUCAAAGACUUCUGUCCUUUCCAGUCUCCUUUUUUUUUCUCCAAUCUUUUCUCUGUGGUUACCUAUUUGAAAUCUCUUAUCAUUCAGAACUUGCUCCACUUCAGUUUCGUCUCUUGAAGGGAGGGAACUAAAACCAAAUAGAGUAUCCCUCUGAUGAGUAUCAGUACCAAACACAGCAGCCAAAGACUUCCAUUGUCUGAUAGUUGAUUUACCCUUACAUGCAACAGUAAACGCUGAGUGAAUUCCAACAAUAUAUUUUUAUGUGGAGAAUAAAAUUAAACAUGAUGCAAGUAAAGUCCCUGCUCUACUUUUGAAACAACAUAAUUACACACACAUUCUCACACACAUUAUAAUCUGGGUAGCUGCCUGUCUGACCUACACAUUUCAUUUCUUGUUAUGUACUUUUAUUUAUUCAACAUUCUUCAUUGUUCAGAAACGUUGUGUGCCAUGACCUUGUCACUACAGUCAGGAGACUGAGUAGGAACAUCCUGGAUGAGACAAAAGCUGCACCUGUCAUAACUGCAAGGACUGUCCUUUCAGACGUGGCCUCUCCGGCCACUUCAGAGGAAAGAAAUUAAAAAAGAGAGCAAGGCUCCCAGCAGCAAGGCUUCCAGUGAACAGAAAAGAUGUGGACCAAGUGUCAAAGGUUCACUGCUGCCAUGAGCUAACAUAAGCAGGUGUUUGGGAGAAGGUCUUUUUACUUUGACAGGGCUUCCCAUAUUGCACAUUGCCAGUGGUCAGAGGGACUUGCAUACACAGGUUUUAUUGCCAACUUCAUAUCUUUCUUUCAAAGAUGGACCUGAAAGAACUGAUAACUGCAAGCUGCUAGAAAAACAGGGACGUGGAGAAGUGUCUGCUUAAAAUGGGUACGUGGAUUGAUCAGCACUGGCUCUAAUGCUCUUUGCUUUUUUCCUAAUUAUUUUUCUGACAAGUUCCUGGAAAUACUUGACUGUAGUGGAAAACACCUGCAUUUGCACAGUUCAGGACAGGAAAGACUGGAUGGACAGCACAAGCUGAAGUCACCAACACUGACUCAAAAGUGGAACCAGAGUCUUCAGUCCCUUUGGUCAGGCCUGAGAAACACCAAAAAAUCAGGAAAUCAGUUCAAACAAAGCUAUUUUUAUAUCUUAAGAACCUGCAGAUCCAUUCAUAUUGAUUAUCUGAAUAUUGCAAACUACAUGUUUUCUCAUGACAUGCUACACAUGUUGGGCUUCACUCAAAUUGCUUCUCAUAUCUCAUCAUAGCACAAGCAAUCUAUAAUGUUUUUGCAAAUCAAGGCAAUGGAUUUCCUUUAAUUUCAGCCAGAAGCUGUUGAAGCAGACCAAUAAACAACAGUGCAGUUCCCACUGAGCUCCAAAAAAAGGCUGUAAAUACAUUUAACAACCUUCAGCAUAAACACAUCUUCUGCUUUUAACCCCCACUGAAUACCUUUCAGAAAGUAUUUUCGUUAUGUGUGUAUUUGAAGAGAAGAAAGGCUUUAAAGGACACAACUGAAAUGCCUCUUUCUCCAAUGGACAUAUCCACACUCCCUGCUGCAUCACAUCUCCCAGAUGAAUCAGCAAUCCACAAAUACCAGCAGCUAACCAACAUUCUGAAAAUGAAUUCAGCAAUCAGUCUGAUUAAUUUAACAUUUACGUAUUUUAACGUGGAAACUUUAACUUGGGGAAUACGUGACAACUGGUGGAAGUCACAGCAGCCUGUAAUUGUGUCUUGGUUGGUUGAAGGUAUUUCCAUACA